RNAcentral lists this ribosomal RNA (922 nucleotides) under uncultured soil bacterium. RNAcentral's name for it is "SSU rRNA". It matches the Rfam family "Bacterial small subunit ribosomal RNA", at positions 1 to 957 of the family's 1533-position model. The record is from RNAcentral.
UAGAGUUUGAUCCUGGCUCGAACGAACGCUGGCGGCUGGCCUAACGCAUGCAAGUCGAACGUGAAGCCACCUUCCGGUGGUGGAAAGUGGCAGACGGGUGAGUAACGCGUGGGAACGUGCCUUUCGGUUCGGAAUAACCCAGGGAAACUUGGGCUAAUACCGGAUACGCCCUUCGGGGGAAAGAUUCAUCGCCGAAAGAUCGGCCCGCGUCGGAUUAGCUAGUUGGUAGGGUAAUGGCCUACCAAGGCGACGAUCCGUAGCUGGUCUGAGAGGAUGACCAGCCACACUGGGACUGAGACACGGCCCAGACUCCUACGGGAGGCAGCACUGGGGAAUAUUGGACAAUGGGCGAAAGCCUGAUCCAGCCAUGCCGCGUGGGUGAAGAAGGCCCUAGGGUUGUAAACCCCUUUCAGCGGGGAAGAUAAUGACGGUACCCGCAGAAUAAGCCCCGGCUAACUCCGUGCCAGCAGCCGCGGUAAUACGGAGGGGGCUAGCGUUGUUCGGAAUUACUGGGCGUAAAGCGCGCGUAGGCGGAUCUGCAAGUCGGGGGUGAAAUCCCGAGGCUCAACCUCUGAACUGCCUUCUAUACUGCGGGUCUCGAGUCCGGGAGAGGUGAGUGGAAUUCCUAGUGUAGAGGUGAAAUUCGGAUAUAUUAGGAAGAACACCAGUGGCGAAGGCUGCUCACUGGCCCGGUACUGACGCUGAGGCGCGAAAGCAUGGGGAGCAAACAUGAUCAGAUACCCUGGUAGUCCACGCCGUAAACUAUGGGUGCUAGCCGUCAGUCAGCAUGCCUGGUCGGUGGCGCAGCAAACGCAUUUAAGCACCACUGCCUGGGGAGUACUAGUCGCUAGAUUAAACCUUCAACGGGAAUUGAAGAGCGGCCCGCACAAGACGGUGGAGCAUGGUGGUUUAACUCCGAGGC